CGCUUGUGUGCCGUGGGGAGCGGAGAAGAGUUAACCCUUUUUAUGCCAACCUAAGACCAUUGUGAGGAAAAGCGGCAUAGAAAAUGGAUGGGUGCCAACCUAAGAGCGCCCGGUGAUAGUGCAUGUAGUUAUAUAGUACAGUAUGGGUUAGACGGCGAACCCAAUAAUCUUUUUCCUUCCAUAACAUCUGCACACCCUUUCCUGCUCGCUCUCCAUUCGAACCCUGCCAAGCGUCUUCAAAGGGCACCUGAGGGAUGUAGCCUCUGCCAGCCAUCAGACCAGCACCGAGGUGGCAACAACCAGUUAAUCUGAGGGCUGAGGCACCCGCCCCCUCGCUUCUUCUUUGGUUUGAUCCACAUCACGUGGUGGACGUUUGAUCACGUUUGGCCAGCCUGGGAGCAAAGAAAGAAAGAAAGAAAAACACAGGAAAAUGAAUAAGAACAGAAGAAACAUUAUUACCAAAUGGGGACUUGGAACAGCCACAUUCAACCACAAAAAAGGAGCAGUGAACAACUCUCCUAUAUCCUCAGUAAAAUGUAUGAGUGGAGCCAUGGACUUAUAACAAUCAGGAAGCAAUGGGCCAGUGAGAGGAAUGAUUCACAUCGACUGCAGAGGAGGAAAAGGGACUGAUGCUGGAAGAGGGACAUGCAGUAUACCAACAUCACUGAAGGCUGGGAACACGUUCUUCAAAGCAUGAAGCGAGCAUAAUGGAAACACAUGUAAUCUCUUAUGUACACACAUUAUUUCUGCAAUUUGCAGCGCUUCUUUUUGACACCUGAAUACCCCUUUUCCCAAGAAAGCCAUUGUAAAAGAUCAUACAAAUAUGUUUUUUUGGAGAAAAUGAUCCAUGAGCUUGAGAGUACACUAGAUUCAUAGUCUGCAGAACGCAAGCCACUUAUAUUUGGACAGUUGUUUGUAACUUGUUUAAAUAGCUUUUGAGGAUACAUAAGGGUGAAUAAUACGUAUGUAUUAAGCGACUGAGGAGCGAAGUAAAAUAAAAUAUCAAAAUUGCACAAAAUAACUGCGGACACAAAAUUAGACUUUCAUGUAUUACAAAGUGACGAGGAAAAUAACUGUCGUAUUUUCCGGACUAUAAAUUGCACUUUUUUUCAUAGUUUGGUUGGUUACAGUCAGGUGAGGCUUACUGUAUACAGUAAUCCCUCGUUUGAUGCCGUUACUUAGUUCCAGACCCGACUGUGGUUAGUGAAUUUCUGCAAAGUAGGUUUCCUUUUUUGUAAAUGGAAUAUUUUCGUAGUUAGAGCACAGAAAACCUGUUUACAACCUUCUAAAUACGUUUUUUAAAAAUCACUAGAGCCUUGCAGACAUGAAAUGGCACCCCUACAGCCACGUUUACACUCCUAUUACCCAAUAUAGCAGGCAUAGUAAGAGAAAAUAAGAUAUAUUAGACAUAAAUAAGGCACAACGUAGAUUCACACAUUAGCAUUGGAAGAGUUCCUUGUUGUUUUUUUCUGGACACUGUACUUCCUGCUGUGGCUGUUGUCUCAUCCAUGUCACAUUACUGACACCCGGUGACCAGUGUAGAAUACUACAUAUUGCGUCUUUGAAAGCAUCUUCUGAAUGCCUUAUGUUUGUAUUUUCAUUUAUUUAGCCAUUUUUGUGCCAGAAAAUCUUGAAUUUAGGCCUAUAACAUGUAUAAUUUGCAUAAAUAUGCAUUUGUUUUACUAAUAAUAGGCCACAAAACUGUGAUAAUUUAUUGAUUUAAUAAUUUUGCAUUUUCCUGGUUUUAGUGUUGAGUUCAGCCUGUACACUUCAGAUAAAUAAAUAGGUAUUAUCAGUUUCUCAAUAGUAUUUAAAAUCGAGGGGGCCAUGAAAAUAUUUCAGCAUAAUAAUAACUGAGAACCACUGAUAUAAUUUAACAUGUUUUUAAAUGUUAAGUCAUCCUGACAGACAUGAACCAAGAAGUCAACAUUACCAUCGACAGCAGCGAGAGGGUGUUAUUGGCCAACAACAGUCAUGUGGGAUGAGAUCGGGAGCUUGGUGAACUUGCUUACCAGCAAGUUGCAUGUUGGACUUAUGGUAAUUUACCCCCCCAGGUAUGCUCUUUGUGCUAUUGUGUAGCUGAAUAACUGUUAAUGCGUUAUGCUAACAUACAGAACACCUAUUCAGCUUGUUGUUUGGUGUGCUAUUGUAGGCUUGAAUGACUUCCCUUUCCAGAUAAAAUGUCUGCUCUUUGUCUUCAAUUCUGUAAAAUAAAUCUCUAAAUAAAUGCGACUUAUCAAUAAAAUAUCAAAUUCAAUUGCAAGACAGCACAUAAUAAUGACGAAAAUUGACAUUUUAGUUAUAGCUCCCAUUGAGCACAAUCUGAGGAGAAACAUAACAGCCUCAAUUAUCAAAGUAUAUCAAAUAUCAACAAGUUAUUGUUCUUCUAGUGUACGAAAAUCAAUAUUUUAUCUAAACUUGGGCAUAUUUACGCGUCAUCGUCUGAACAUCAGCACAAAGUCAACAUUCAGGAGUCUUUAUUGGGGGAAGGGAUAGACUUCAGCGUCCUGACAGCCUGAUAGAUGAAGCUGUCCUCAGUCUGCUGGUCCUCGCUUGCAGGCUCCUCAGCCUCCUCCCGAAUGGCAAGAGCCUGGAAAGGUGAUGUGAGCGGUGGGUGGGG
Long non-coding RNA from Dunckerocampus dactyliophorus (ringed pipefish), 2620 nucleotides. RefSeq lists it as uncharacterized. The transcript has 6 exons. NCBI's taxonomy places the organism in Eukaryota, Metazoa, Chordata, Actinopteri, Syngnathiformes, Syngnathidae. The record is from RefSeq and is a predicted model, not a curated record.